This 301-nucleotide ribosomal RNA is filed under the name uncultured bacterium. RNAcentral's name for it is "partial 16S ribosomal RNA". It matches the Rfam family "Bacterial small subunit ribosomal RNA", at positions 509 to 808 of the family's 1533-position model. The record is from RNAcentral.
CAGCAGCCGCGGGAAUACGUAGGUGGCGAGCGUUGUCCGGAAUCAUUGGGCGUAAAGGGAGCGCAGGCGGGCACGUAAGUCUUUCUUAAAAGUUCGGGGCUCGACCCCGUGAUGGGAAAGAAACUACAUGUCUUGAGUACAGGAGAGGAAAGCGGAAUUCCCAGUGUAGCGGUGAAAUGCGUAGAUAUUGGGAGGAACACCAGUGGCGAAGGCGGCUUUCUGGACUGCAACUGACGCUGAGGCUCGAAAGCCAGGGGAGCGAACGGGAUUAGAUACCCCUGUAGUCCCUGUCUCUUAUACC